GACGAACGCUGGCGGCGUGCUUAACACAUGCAAGUCGAGCGGUAAGGCCUCUUCGGGGGUACACGAGCGGCGAACGGGUGAGUAACACGUGGGUGACCUGCCCUCAGCUCUGGGAUAAGCCUGGGAAACUGGGUCUAAUACCGGAUAUGACCUUUCCUCGCAUGGGGUUUGGUGGAAAGUUUUUUCGGCUGGGGGUGGGCCCGCGGCCUAUCAGCUUGUUGGUGGGGUGAUGGCCUACCAAGGCGACGACGGGUAACCGGCCUGAGAGGGCGACCGGCCACACUGGGACUGAGACACGGCCCAGACUCCUACGGGAGGCAGCAGUGGGGAAUAUUGCGCAAUGGGCGGAAGCCUGACGCAGCGACGCCGCGUGGGGGAUGACGGCCUUCGGGUUGUAAACCUCUUUCGACCCCGACGAAUUUGGACGGUAGGGGUAGAAGAAGCACCGGCCAACUACGUG
This 460-nucleotide ribosomal RNA is filed under the name uncultured bacterium. RNAcentral's name for it is "partial 16S ribosomal RNA". It matches the Rfam family "Bacterial small subunit ribosomal RNA", at positions 28 to 507 of the family's 1533-position model. The record is from RNAcentral.